Molecule: ribosomal RNA, 447 nt
Filed under: uncultured bacterium
Lineage: Bacteria
Description: bacterial SSU rRNA
Rfam family: Bacterial small subunit ribosomal RNA
Source: RNAcentral
UGGGGAAUAUUGGACAAUGGGCGCAAGCCUGAUCCAGCCAUGCCGCGUGAGUGACGAAGGCCUUAGGGUUGUAAAGCUCUUUUGGCAGGGACGAUAAUGACGGUACCUGGAGAAUAAGCCCCGGCAAACUUCGUGCCAGCAGCCGCGGUAAUACGAAGGGGGCUAGCGUUGUUCGGAAUUACUGGGCGUAAAGCGCACGUAGGCGGAUUGUUAAGUCAGAGGUGAAAUCCCGGAGCUCAACUUCGGAACUGCCUUUGAUACUGGCAAUCUCGAGUCCGGAAGAGGUUAGUGGAAUUCCCAGUGUAGAGGUGAAAUUCGUAGAUAUUGGGAAGAACACCAGUGGCGAAGGCGGCUAACUGGUCCGGUACUGACGCUGAGGUGCGAAAGCGUGGGGAGCAAACAGGAUUAGAUACCCUUGUAGUCCCUGAGCGGGCUGGCAAGGCGCAU